ACAUAUGAGUCCAUUUUUAUUCAUAGAUUCACAUCUAAGUUCUUCUAACCAAUAACUGUACCCAAAUGCUGAUUAUAAUGACACGGUCAGAAUGUUUCCCUCUCUGAUCAGCUCUUGUGGCAUCAGGGUUGCCUAGCAGUAUAGAUUGAUCAUGGCAUUGGCCGGCACUUGUAUGAGGGGUUUCUUUGGCGACAGCCGUCCUGAUCUGAGUACCUGUGAGUCAGCAUAUGAGGGCUUGAUGCCGUGUGCCGGGCCGAGGACUGAGAGCAGGGCUGUGAUCCAGCUGCUUGAAGGAUUUGUGAUGAAUGACGGGCGGGAGGCGUCCCUCUCCUAAUCUUCUGAGGGGGUCAUAGAGUAUAAGAGACCUGUAACCCCUGCACCGCUCCCAAAGAAAGCCGAGCGUUGACAUCCACCCCUCCACAGCAGAGACAUACAUAAGAAACGGUGCAGCUGCACCCAGUCAACAGCCUGUCAAUCAACAAACCUGUGAGUGCAACCUUAAAAUAUUU
Molecule: long non-coding RNA, 509 nt
Organism: Sinocyclocheilus grahami
Lineage: Eukaryota; Metazoa; Chordata; Actinopteri; Cypriniformes; Cyprinidae
Exons: 2
Source: RefSeq, a predicted model, not a curated record